UGGAAAUGCUAAGUCCUUGAGAUUCCCUGC
This 30-nucleotide non-coding RNA is filed under the name Mus musculus (house mouse). Lineage: Eukaryota; Metazoa; Chordata; Mammalia; Rodentia; Muridae. The record is from RNAcentral.